Non-coding RNA from Acyrthosiphon pisum (pea aphid), 70 nucleotides. NCBI's taxonomy places the organism in Eukaryota, Metazoa, Arthropoda, Insecta, Hemiptera, Aphididae. The record is from Rfam.
CCGUGUUCUGUGACUGACUGGGCUGACGUCGGACUGGCGGGCGCCCGCUGGUCUGUCACAGAACCUGAGA